CUUUAGACUGUCUCUGUUCGAACAUUACUAGUUACAUAUGAUAGAGGAACUACAGAACAUGUAGGUCUUGCUUGAUUUUUCUUUAAUUUAAGUCUUUGUAAUAAAUAGUAGAUAAAAUAAUGUUUUAUUAAAAUAAUUUCAUUAAAGUAAAAAAUAAAUGUACAUAUCAAAAUCGAAAUAAUUACAAAAAAACAAUAUAAUAUAAUUUAUAUUAUAAUUUAAUUAAUCAUAGAAUAAAAGAGUGACAUUACUGUGUGAAUAUGGCUAUUGCAAAUAUAUCUGAUAUUUCAGAUAAAUAUUGGCAUCCAUCAUUUGUAGCAUUUAAGAUAAUCAUGGAUAAAAUAGUGAUUGAACUAUAUUGGAAGCAUGUACCUAUUAUAUGAGGAAGAAAUUUUUUCUGAACAAUGUGGAAAUAAUAUUUCAUAAAAUUCUUUUAAAUUUUAUGCUAUAAUAUGCUAUAAGAAAAAUAUCUUUCAGAAAUGGAAUAUAUUAAAUCGUCUAAUCAGAAAGUAAGAAUGAUCUAAUGAUAAAGGAAUGAUAGGAAAAGAAGUUGGCCUAUAAAAUGAUUGACCAGUGAACUUGCGUAUAGAUGGAUUCUCUUUAUGUAAAUGCGUAUUAUAAUAAUAAUAUCUUUUUCAUAUGGAAAACGCUUCAUUUGUUUAUAAUAUUUACAAAAUAAAAGUUUGCGUUCUAUUUUUUCUAGUAUUAAUUCUUAAAUUAAUAUAAUAUUCACUUUGAAUUUUCGGAAAUGUAAUAUCCUAUUGAAAAUAAAUCUUUAGCGAAUGCAAAUUUUUGCACUUGCAAAUAUUAUACAUAGUUACAUUAGUUCUCCAAAAUAUGAUACUAUUUGAUUGAUGGGAACAAAGAUAUUUAUAUUAAACAAAUAUUUUUUAAAUUCAUCAAAUAUUAUCAUUAAUUAAUCAUAUUGAGGCUCAUCUCUAACGUUAUUAUGAACGUUGGUAAUAUCAUUUUCUUAUUCUACAUUAUUAUCAACUAUCAUAUAGAUUCAAGUUUUUAUAUGGGCAUUCAGAUGAUUUAUAUAUAUGUGACGCUAUUAUUAUUAUAAUUAAUAUGAGUUCUUGGACAAAGAUACUAUUGUUUUUAUCAUUAAGAAUAUGUGACAUUAAUUCCAAUAUCACUGUUAAAUUCAAUUGAAUGUUUUAUUGAAUGAAAUCUUUUAAUAAUCAAUGAUAAUCAGUGUUUUUGCAAAGCAUGGAAGUAAUUUGACGAAAAGAUUUUUUUUUAUGAAGAAUUAUAAGAACUUUGAAUUUCAAACUGUUGCUAAGAAAUGUAUUCUCAAUCAUGAUCUAUUGUAGAAUUAUGCAAAACAUUAUUAAAAAAAUUUAUUACUUUCUUUGAGUAAGCUUUACGAGAAAUUUAAUACUAUUUGAGAUUUUGAUUCGAUAGUUAGUGUUUUCGAAUCGAUAGUUGAUUCACAAGAAAUUUAAGAAGGAACAAUGAAAAAGAGGAAUGGAUCUCAAAUAUAAAAUUUUAACUUUGGAUAUUUUUUUGAAAAAUUAUAUUCAAUAUCUAUAUGUAUUUAUGAUAGAAUUGUGCGUCGAUGUGUGAUAGCUAUUUAUCUUUUAUUUUAUUAUUAUAUAAAAGAUCAUGAUGGUUAGCGCUACAUGCAUAUAAAAUAGCAAAAUAUUUAUAUAAUUUUAAUUAAUUACAUCCCAUUUAAUUUCCAAAAUUCUCGAUGUUUCGAAUUCUGUAUAUUUUUAUACAUGUUGCAUUAUAAUAUGUUUAUUAAUAAUCAAUGAAAAUAUUUAUUGUAUUACUUUUUAUAAUAUUUUGUCUGAUAUAUUCUUAGACUCAAUUCUUUUUUGGAAAUAUUAUAAAAUAUCUUCCA
Long non-coding RNA from Apis cerana (Asiatic honeybee), 1849 nucleotides. RefSeq lists it as uncharacterized. NCBI's taxonomy places the organism in Eukaryota, Metazoa, Arthropoda, Insecta, Hymenoptera, Apidae. The record is from RefSeq and is a predicted model, not a curated record.